CAAAGAAACAAGUAAAUAAUUUCCCAAAGUAAAGAUUACUAACAUUUGGUGAAUAGAAUCCACAAAUACAAAUAGAAAGCUAGACAAUGAGGAACGGUUUCACAGAGAGAUAUCAUAUGGUACAUGCUACUUUUUAAAACAAAAUUUUUAUUUUUGAAUAAUUUUAGGUUUAUGGAAAGGUUGCAAAGAUAACACAGAGUGUUCUAUACCCUUCAACUGACUUCCUCUAUUGCUAACGUCUUACAUUACUAUGGUACAUUCAUUACAACUAAGAAACCAAUACUGGUACAUUACUAUUAACUAAAUUCCAGACUCUUUUUAAAUUUCACCAGUUUUUCUACUAAUGUCCUCUUUCUGUCCCAAGAUCCACAUUGCAUUUAGUUGUCAGGUAUUCUCUUAGGGCUCUCCAAAGAGACAGAACCAAUAGGAUAAAUGGGUAUAUGCAUAGAGAGAGAGACACAGGAGUUAAUUCUAAACCUAAGAGUCAUGUGACUAUUAGGCAUACCAUUUUAGAAGAAAUUGGAAAUAGAGUUACAACCAGAGCAGCACAAGUAGUUAAGAAAGCUCAGAACACCAAAGUACCAGUUCAGCCCAGGGAAACAACAAAUGUCAACGAACAACUGAAACCUACUGCUUCUGUGAAACAGUACAGAUGGAAAUGUUGGUUCCAAACGGUCCUUCUCCCGUACCUGAGGAUGCCUCCAUGAAAGAAGAGAACAUCUGCCAAGCUUUUUCUGAUGCCUUGGUCUGCAAAAUUGAGGAUAUUGAUAAUGAAGAUUGGAAUAACCCUCAGCUCUGCAGUGACUACGUUAAGGAUAUCUAUCAGUACCUCAGGCAGCUGGAGAUUUUGCAGUUCAUAAAUCCACAUUUCUUAGAUGGAUGAGAUAUAAAUGGACAUAAGCGUACCAUCCUGGUAGACUGGCUGGUGCAAAUCCCCUCCAAGUUUAGGCUUCUUCAGGAGACUCUGUAUGUGUGUGUUGCCACGAUGGAUUGAUUUUUACUGGUUCAGCCAGUUUCCCAUAGGAAGCUUCAACUAGUUUGGAUUACUGCUCUGUUCUUGGCUUCCAAGUAUGAGGAGAUGUUUUCUCCAAAUAUUGAAGGCUUUGUUUACAUCACAGACAAUGCUUAUACUAUUUCCCAAAUCCAAGAAAUGGAAACUAAUUUUGAAAGAACCGAAAUUUCAGUUGGGUGGACCCUUGCCACUUCUUAAGGCAAGCAUCACAAGCCGGAAAGGCUGAUGUUGAACAGAACACUUUAGCCAAAUAUUUGAUGGAGCUGACUCUCAUUGACUACGAUAUGAUGCAUUAUCAUCCUUCUAAGGCAGCAGCAGCUGCUUCCUGCUUGUCUCAGAAGGUUCUGGGCCAAGGAAAAUGGAACUUAAAGCAGCAGUGUUAUACAGGAUACACAGAGAAUGAAGGAUUGGAAGUCAUGCAGCACAUGGCCAAAAAUGUGCUGCAAGUAAAUGAAAACUUAACUAAAUUCAUCGCCAUCAGGAAUAAGUAUGCAAACAGCAAAUUCCUGAAGAUCAGCACAAUCUCUCAACUGAACUCAAAAACCAUCAAAGACCUUGCCUCCCCUCUGAUGGGAGGGUCCUAGGCUGCAGUGGCCCCUGGGGAUGUGUGCUUUAUUUGUGCACUUUUUCUUACUGGUUUAGAACUCUUCAUUUUAUACAUAGUUCUCUGGGCUAUUUCAUGAAACCUCUUCUCAGAUCAAUUUUCUAAACGUAUAUUGAGGAAAAAUAAAGCUACUGGUUUUUCUUAAGGUAAAAAAAAAAAAAGAAGAAGAAGAAAACAGAAUAUACCCAUUUAUCCUACUAGAGAGAUCCUAAAAGAGAUUUAUUAUAAGGAAUUGGCUCAUGCAAUUAUGGAGGCCGAGAAAUCCCAAGAUCUGCAGUUGGCAGGCUGGAGACCCAGGGAAGUUGACAUGUAUUUCCAAUCUCAAAUUUAGCAGGCCGGAGACUAAAAAAACAGCCAAUGUUUCAGUUUCAAGUCCAAAAGCCAGAAAGGAACUGGUGUCCCAUCUCAAAGCAGUCAGGCGGGAGGAGUUCCCCCUUAGUGAGUCUUUUUGUUUUAUUCAUGUUGUCUUCAAAGGAUAGGAUGAGGCCCACCCAUAUUAUGGAAGGCAGUUUGCUUUACUCAGUCUACCUAUUCAAAUAUUAACCUCAUCAAGAAACAUUGUCACAGACACAGAAGAUUAAUGUUUAACCAAAUGUCUGGGUACCCCAUGGCCUAGCUAAACUGACAAAAAAUUAACCAUCCCAAGUCUACAUGCUAUUUUCAAUCUGUUAUGUUAAUAUAAUAUCUGAUUUGCCAGAUCAUGCCGUGUCACCCUCUGCUUUAAAUGUGCAAGCAGAUAGCUCUCUAGAUGCCCUAUACUUCUGUCUCUACCAGUUCAGCUGGAAGCUUUCCAAGAGUCAAUUUGGGUGUUUGAACUCAAACUUUUUUUAAUUAUAUAAUUUAAAUAAAUGUUAAGAAAACUGACAAAAUAUAAAUGCAAAAAGAACACAUUUUUGUUUCCAUAAAACCUAGGUUGAGUAUGUUAGAAAAACUGGAUAUAGAGUGAUUAAAAAUUUGCUUUCAGGGUGGGUGCAGUGACUCAUGCCUGUAAUCCCAGCAUUUUGGGAGGCCAAGGCAGGAGGACUGCUUGAGCCCAGA
This is an RNA transcript of Cercocebus atys (sooty mangabey), 2654 nucleotides long. It is a transcript of the gene named G2/mitotic-specific cyclin-B2-like, with no coding region annotated. The record is from RefSeq and is a predicted model, not a curated record. NCBI's taxonomy places the organism in Eukaryota, Metazoa, Chordata, Mammalia, Primates, Cercopithecidae. The transcript has a single exon.